Molecule: long non-coding RNA, 900 nt
Organism: Coffea eugenioides
Lineage: Eukaryota; Viridiplantae; Streptophyta; Magnoliopsida; Gentianales; Rubiaceae
Exons: 2
Source: RefSeq, a predicted model, not a curated record
UUGUCUGAAUUUUCAUGCAUUUCUUUUUAAUCAGAAGUGGACAUUUUAAUAUACUAGAAACACUCUCUUUUGCUAUUUCGUCACUUAGAUUAUCAUUUUCCCUCGAGAGUAUGCUCAACUAGUAUUACUUCAUUCACGUUUAUCACUUGUGUGCUUUUUUUACAUUCAAAUGUUGAAGGAUGACGCCUACUUUUGAUCUGCCACUGUUAUGCUGUGAAGUAAUUCACUCGAUUCUUCUUUGUGAUGGCUACAGUUUCAAUUCUGAGUCAUCCUGAAUUAAAGGAAAUUGCGUUUUGCUGCAGGGAGAAUAUUUGAAUAUUCAAUGAAGUUAAAGCUGUUGAAUUUGGAUGAAACAGCUUCCUGAAUCAGUUUGGUGAACGUGCAUUAUUGCUUACAAGAUUGAAUUUUUAUCCACCUUGUCCGAGACCAAAUAAAGUUCUUGGCCUCGAACCUCACUCUGAUAAAUCUGGAGUCACUGUACUAUUGCAAGAUGAUGAAGUUGGAGUCUCCAAAUAUUCCAGGACAGUCAGUGGUUCAAAGUUCCCACAAUACCUAAUGCUUUAGUUGUUCAUAUUUGUGAUCAAAUGCAGAUAAUGAGUAACGGGAUAAUCACAAGUCCAGUGCACAGGGCAGUGACAAACUCUGAAAAGCUGAGGAUAUCAGUGUCCAUCUGAAACGAAGCAGAGCAGGACUUGGAGAUUGGUCCGGUCGACGGACUGUUAGAUGAGAAACAUGCCAGAUUGUAUAGAAAUGUCAAAAAUUAUGGUGCUAUAAAUCUGUGAGUGCUUUCAGAAAGGAGAGGUAGCAAUUGUAACUGUAAAAGUUUAGUUUCUAGUAGAAUGAGUGGAAAUUUGAUGUUCAGCUACUUCUGGGAUCAAAUCCAUAAACAUUUAUCUUUCA